Molecule: ribosomal RNA, 378 nt
Filed under: Syringogaster sp. 2 JHS-2008
Lineage: Eukaryota; Metazoa; Arthropoda; Insecta; Diptera; Syringogastridae
Description: partial 12S ribosomal RNA
Source: RNAcentral
GAUACCCUAUUAUAAAAAAUAUACUUUUUUAUUUAAAGUAGUAAUAGUUAUGAUCUUGAAACUUAAAAAAUUUGGCGGUAUUUUAGUCUAUUCAGAGGAACUUGUUUUAUAAUCGAUAUUCCUCGUUGAACCUUACUUAAAAUAGUUGUCAGUUUAUAUACCGUUGUUAUAGAAUAUUUUAAAAGAAUAAUAAUUUUCAAUAAAUUGAAUUGAAUUAUAUAUCAAAUCAAGGUGUAGCUUAUAUUUAAGUAAAAAUGAGUUACAAUAAAAUUAUUUAAAAUGAAUAUAAAUAUGAAAAAUUUAUUGAAAGUGGAUUUGAUAGUAAAUUUAUGAAGAGAAAUAAAUUGAUUUUAGCUCUAAAAUAUGUACACAUCGCCG